RNAcentral lists this ribosomal RNA (393 nucleotides) under uncultured microorganism. RNAcentral's name for it is "bacterial SSU rRNA". It matches the Rfam family "Archaeal small subunit ribosomal RNA", at positions 330 to 724 of the family's 1478-position model. The record is from RNAcentral.
GUGCAGCAGGCGCGAAAACUUCACAAUGUGCGAAAGCACGAUGAGGGAAUCCCAAGUGCUUGCACGUAAGUGUAAGCUGUUUCUCUGUCUAAAACGCAGAGAGAGUAAGGGCUGGGUAAGACGGGUGCCAGCCGCCGCGGUAAUACCUGCAGCUCGAGUGGUGACCGUUAUUAUUGGGCCUAAAACGUCCGUAGCCGGUUUAAUAAAUGCCUGGGUAAAUCGGACCGCUUAACGGUUCGAAUUCCGGGUAGACUGUUAAACUUGAGACCGGGAGAAGUUAGAGGUACUCCUGGGGUAGAGGUGAAAUUCUGUAAUCCUAGGGGGACCACCAGUGGCGAAGGCGUCUAACUAGAACGGGUCUGACGGUGAGGGACGAAGCCCUGGGGCGCAAAC